UGCUACUAAAAGAGAGACAUCCUAUUAUCCUGAAAAUGUACUCCAUAAUGAAAAACAAGGGAAAAGAGAUCAGAAGGGUUAGCAUUUGCUGCAACACAGAGUGAAUUUUUACUCCUGUUGCCUCGAGGACAUUCAUUGGAAACAUCAUGUUGCACUUGAUGGAGACUCUCCUGAUGAAAAGAGCUAAUACCACCUUCAAAAUACAGUAAGGACCACUCUAAAAUGCAUAUUGCUGGAGAACGCUUGGAUGGACACUGUCACGAAAACACCCCAGAUGACAUAGGAGAAAUGGUGAAGAAGAAUCAUAAGAAAAGAAGGAGGAGAUGAAC
Long non-coding RNA from Suricata suricatta (meerkat), 329 nucleotides. RefSeq lists it as uncharacterized. The transcript is spliced from 3 exons. The record is from RefSeq and is a predicted model, not a curated record. Lineage: Eukaryota; Metazoa; Chordata; Mammalia; Carnivora; Herpestidae.